Molecule: long non-coding RNA, 439 nt
Filed under: Citrus x clementina
Lineage: Eukaryota; Viridiplantae; Streptophyta; Magnoliopsida; Sapindales; Rutaceae
Description: Citrus clementina (C. clementina) long non-coding RNA (CCLE_LNC003273)
Source: RNAcentral
GGCUGAUGUAUAGAUGUGAGCUGUGCAACUUCAAUCUUCAUAUCCCCUGCAUGUUCAUUGACCGUAAGCCUACUGCCAAACAUGAAUUCUUCGGAAACUCCACUUUCAAACUCUUACCCACCCUCGGGGCAUGCUCUACUAAAGAUUGUAUAGAUUGUAACAAACACUGUCACGCGUGUGGAAGACCCGCGGAUGGUUUUGUCUACCAUUGCGAAGAGAAAGGCCGUAACUUGCACCCCUGUUGCUUCAACCUUCCGCGUAAGCUGCAAAUCGAUUGUGUUGAAUUUGAGCUUUCUGAUAAGAAAUUAUCACAGAAGUGCAUUUGGUGCAACAGCAAAAGGCUUCAAGAAACUGCAAGUGACAGGUGGGGGUGGUCUUAUGUAUCCAAGUGCAAGAAUUACCAUUGUCAUGCAUUCUGCUCUACUGAAAUGCUGCUGGA